AUGACCUUGACACAUUUGAAGAGUACUUUUCAGCUAUUUGGUAGAAGGUCCUUCAACUUAGAAUCUCAAAUGAUGGAGAAUUCACAAAAAGGGUGUUAAACUAAACCUGAAAUAAGUGUUAUCUAUUCAGGAGAAAGAAAUGCCAAAAGCAGACCUAAGGAAGAUGGGGAGAAAAUUCUACAUUUGAUGGAUAUAAGGGAAGCUCUCAGAAUCAAGCUCUGGAAACAGACUGGAAAGAACUAGAAUAUUGUAAUGAGACUUGCCUGUUCAAGAACUAUAAACUAUGGAGACUAAGGAAAGAAGGAUAUCUUCAACUCGAAGCUCUCUAAGGGAAGCCAGCCUAUCAGCUAACUGAAUCCUGGUGUAAGGAGAUAAUCUGCACAGCCCCUUUCUCUACUAAACUUCAAAUGUUUGUUACAAAGCAACACCCAGCCAGCACCACCCGACUCCCUAUGAACUGUCAGUGAGAUAAAGCUGCAAGGUUCCCACCACUGAUUUUUUCCCCCAGAAAGAAUACCAUUUCAGCUUCAUGACUCAUGGUUUACAUUCAGUAUGUAAGCAUUUGAAUAUCACUCUUGUUUUAUGUGUAUAUUUGAAUAACUUUUUAUAUUGACAUACUUUCAAGAAAAAUCUUCUUUCGAAAUCUGAACAAGAUGUUCAAAAACGCAAAACUGGUUUUUAGUAAACCAAGUUGAACUUAAAAGUGCCGCUGCAUGGAAAAGAGCAACAAAAUGUUUCCUAGCGGUUAUGUACGAUUGUUUUAUUAGGUUUGAUAAGACUAAACAGUCCAAAGAGUUGACAGUCCUGACACCUGGCAUAUGAAAGAUGGAAUUCCUGAAUGGAAAUUAUUCUUAUUGAACUUCUCUGAAGAGUUUUGGCUGAAAAGAAGUAUCUUUUCCAACGCCAGUACAUUCUCGGCGCUCCUUCAACUGGCUGAAAAAUGAGGUACUGAAUUCUUUGCUUAAUGGGAAAUCUACUGUUGUUUUAAUACAUUUUUUUGGAAUCUUUUUUUUUUAAA
Molecule: long non-coding RNA, 1018 nt
Organism: Zalophus californianus (California sea lion)
Lineage: Eukaryota; Metazoa; Chordata; Mammalia; Carnivora; Otariidae
Exons: 5
Source: RefSeq, a predicted model, not a curated record